ACACACACACACACACACACACACACACACACAGAGCUGGUUUCCAGAAUUUAUUAAAGCAGCAGGAAGUGGAUGACGAAAACCAGAGUCCAUUUACCAGACGAGGUUGAAGGGAUGCAGGAACUGGCAGACAGGAACAGACAGGAACGGGUACAGGAGACAAACAGAAACUGUGUCAGAAACUAUUUCAUUGGACUUAUUUUGAGCGGUUCUUAAAGAUAGACAACAAGCUUGUAUGAAACAGUGUCACUGCUUUUAAAUUGUUUUUAUUGUUUUAUAUUUGUGCAUAUGUAUUAAUUGGUUUUAUUUUUGUAACCAGGUUGUAGUGUUUUUGCAGAUUUCUGCCCAGGUCCCCCUUGAAAAUGAGAUCCAGAUCUCAACGGGGUUUACCUGGUUAAAUAAAGGGAAAAAAAACAGGAACGAGACAGGCAUGGCGUACAGAGGACUGGAGACGAACCGGUGACCAUGGACAAACUGAGGUGUAGUUGCAUCUUCCUGCCAGCUGGAGCCACUGUGGAAACUUGAAGCCCUCCUGAAGUUCCCUCCUCCUAGUUCACCUUCAGCCACUUCCUUUUGUCAUCAUCCUCAUUCUGGAUUGGACACUCGCCUGAUUGCCUCACCAAUCCGUGUGGAGCACUCCUUAUUUAAACUCAGUUCUCCCAUGCAAUCAGGGCAGCUGUGUUUUAGAGCAGCUUGCCACACUGCCGGUUGUGUUUUGUUUGUUGUGAUGUGUUUUUGCUUUACUGUAACACUCGUUUAACCUGACUAUUGAAGGCUGUGUCACUCGUCUGGCAAUUUGCCGUGGCACUCGGUUUUAGCCUCUCAACUCCUGGUUGUGUUACUCGUCCCCUGUUUUCUGUGACACUUUGUUAACCUGUGUAUUGAAGGCUGUGUCACUCGUCUGGCAAUUUGCCGUGGCACUCGGUUUUAGCCUUUCAAUUCCUGGUUGUGUUACUAGUUUCAUGUUUUGGUUUUGUCUUGUGGUUUGUUUAGUGUUGAUGCUGGAAACAGCAUCAACACCUUAGUUCUUGUGGCCUUAAGUCAUCUUUGGGUUUCUUUUGUCAUUAGAUCAUGUCCUGUCCUUUUUGGUAGUGUACAUAUUGUUUCUAUAGCCAACUUAUCAAUAAAUUGUUACAUUUUUUCUCAUA
Long non-coding RNA from Fundulus heteroclitus (mummichog), 1148 nucleotides. RefSeq lists it as uncharacterized. Lineage: Eukaryota; Metazoa; Chordata; Actinopteri; Cyprinodontiformes; Fundulidae. The transcript is spliced from 2 exons. The record is from RefSeq and is a predicted model, not a curated record.